This 88-nucleotide ribosomal RNA is filed under the name Clostridioides difficile. The record is from RNAcentral. Lineage: Bacteria; Bacillati; Bacillota; Clostridia; Peptostreptococcales; Peptostreptococcaceae.
UGUGGUUACAAUAGCAGAGAGGAUACACCUGUUCCCAUUCCGAACACAGAAGUUAAGCUCUCUAGCGCUGAUGGUACUUGGUGGGAAA